Long non-coding RNA from Coregonus clupeaformis (lake whitefish), 2144 nucleotides. RefSeq lists it as uncharacterized. The transcript has 2 exons. NCBI's taxonomy places the organism in Eukaryota, Metazoa, Chordata, Actinopteri, Salmoniformes, Salmonidae. The record is from RefSeq and is a predicted model, not a curated record.
UGGUAACCAGUUUAUAAUAGCAAUAAGGCGCCUUGGGGGUUUGUGAUAUAUGGCCAAUAUACCACGGCUAAGGGCUUUGUGCCACGUUGCGUCGUUGUUAAGGACAGCACUUAGCCGUGGUAUAUUGGCCAUAUACCACACCUCCUCUGGCAUUAUUGCUUAAUUAUCAACUUUGUCAUAGAAGAGUACAGCUGGUUAAACUUCAAGCAAGAGAGAUAAAGACACAGAGAGAGGGAUUUGAUGCCCUAUAUUACAACCUGUGAUAGAGAGGUGCCUUGUUGCAAUUUGCUUCCAAAUAGAGUACAGAUGUUCUGGGGCAAAUAAAAGAAGACUUUAAAAGGAAAAUAUAAUGAAGAGCAUGUAUUUCCAAGCAAAAUUCUUUGAAAUUGAGCUUAAUUGUAUGUUUUGAGAUGAUUAAUAUUACUAAUUAAAACAGAAAAUGUCAUGCACCAUAUUGCUUCAGUUAUGUUUUACCAUAAAUAUAGCCUAAUUAUUCAUUUUCUUAUGAGUCUAUUGCAUAUCUUGUGACAAGUAACAUCCAUGGUAGAUAUAUUAAACUAAAACCAGUCAGACCUAUUUGUAGCCUAAUUAUGGGUCUAAUAUGUAAUCAUAACGUAAGUAAAUUGAAUCGUGUUAUUUCUCUUGGCUCUCUGGUCAAGAGUCCAGAUGGCUUUGCCCUGGUCAAAUGAGAUUGAUAAAAAAAAAAAUUUAAAAAAAGAUGGACAAGGGAAUCACGACACGACAUCCCACCCUAGCAACCGCCUUGUCGCCACGGCAACAUCCUCCCCUGUCCUGUUCUCUUCGGUGGCUUCAAUAGUAUUACAAGCAUAAUGGUCACUUGCACAGUAGCCUGUUUUCGAUUAGAUUACCAACUCCUACAAAGAUAGUUGGGGUACACACUGUAUUGAUAGGUGUGGGGGGGCAUCAUUUCGGCUGUAGCCUAGUCUAUAGUUAGAUUAGCACGGGCGGGGUAGGCUACCCGGUGACAGCACACACACCCAUAGAUGUGGGUUGUUAUUAGGCGCAGAUUAGGAGGGAGCAGGACUCGAGAAAAUCUCGGUUGCAAUUCCAUUAGGACAAAUUAUUUCAUUGCUCUCGAGAAAAAACAGAGUAUACCACGCGCGUACACGCAUUCUGGCUCCCGCUCCCUUUUAACAACCUCCUUUCCAGGCUCGCGCCAUCCGUCCUCUUCGAAUACCUGCACAGCAGCCCGUUACCGUUCGUUCGGAUGGAUCCCGCUGUGCUCAUCUUCCUGCUGUAUAUGAUGAUAGCUCAUGAGCUGGUCUGCGGCUGGUUGCAGUACCGGAGGCAAGCUGCCAAGCCCCGCAAACGAGCCGGGCCGAUGUGGAGUACCAGUGCUCGAGUUUGCCCUAGCAGCUGGCGGGUCAGCAGCCAGUCUUGCAGGACAGAGAGAGGACGAGACUGGAGGAGGGCUGCUGGGAAGAGUGGGAGGCGGAUUGUCAGAAAGGCCUGAGCUGGAGAGAGCAUCUGUUGAGCAGAACUUAGACAAUUCCCCAACCCCAGAGUGGAUUGUUGGACUGAAAGACCUCUUCUUGUCUUGAACUUGGAACUUUGACAGGUAUGAAGAGCUUGAUCUGCUGCAGCAUCUCUUUGCUGUGAUUGAGCAGCACAUUGCCCAUGGGGAUGUGGUCUGUCAACACAGCAAUGGAGUCUAAACUCCGGAGAACAGUACAACAUGAGGAAAUGUCUAUGGAAGUGUGGAAAGGCUGAAUAUUGCUGUAUUUUCAACUGUUUGUCUAUUUAUUUGUUCAUCUAUAUUGUCUUAGUCAUAUUUUAUCAUGUUAUUUGGUGAUGUUUGUAUUCCAAAUCAGCUGUUAUCCUCCCUUCAGGAUCUGUAUUUUAGACCACACCACCAAAAAAGCUAUAUAGUCCAUCAGAUGCAUCCAUGAAUUUGAAGUGUCCUUUUUGUUUAGACACUAAGAAAUGUUUGUGAGGCCAUGUUCACACUAAUGUAGAGACCACCAGGUGUGUUUACUGUGGAUGUGGCUCUAAUAACAUUUGAAUUAAAACACUCUUCUGAAAUGAACCAUUGAAAGACUCACAGUGAACAUAGAGAAUUGCCACUGUCUGUGAUGGAGCAACAAGUAUGCUGAACAAAAUAAUAAAUGCAACAUGCAACAAUU